RNAcentral lists this long non-coding RNA (390 nucleotides) under Fukomys damarensis (Damara mole-rat). RNAcentral's name for it is "lncRNA (ENSFDAG00000023446.1)". Lineage: Eukaryota; Metazoa; Chordata; Mammalia; Rodentia; Bathyergidae. The record is from RNAcentral.
CGAAGAUUUCAGGGAGAGUCCCAAGAAUCCUGGGCCUGGCCUUCCUCCAGCUCCAGGGAAGCCAUCGGUUCCCCAACCAGUCCAGCUGGCACAGGACACAGCUUCCCUUAUUCAUUUGCUGCAUUUUUACCUGGAGUCUUGUCAGAUAAAACAAGAGAAAAGGCUUCGUUCAUCAUCGGCCAACAAAAGUUUGGAGUUAAGUGCCCAAGUUCUAAAAGCAAACCAACAGUGGAGAUGAAAAUGAGAAUAAUAAAUGUAACUAAAGACAAUGAGAGUUUUGAUUUAUGUGUGAAGAUAUACAUUAAGUGUAUCUCAUCAAACAAUAAAUAAGACCCAAAGAUGAGAGAGACAGAGAGGGAGAGAGAGAGAGAGAGAGAGCGACAGACAGAC